GCAGCAGCUAAGAAUCUUCCACAAUGGACGAAAGUCUGAUGGAGCGACGCCGCGUGAAUGAUGAAGGCCGUGAGGUUGUAAAGUUCUUUUCGGGAGGAGGAAUGAAGUUAUCAGGGAAUGGAUGACAGAUGACGAGAAUCCCGGAAUAAGCCCCGGCUAACUACGUGCCAGCAGCCGCGGUAACACGUAGGGGGCGAGCGUUGUUCGGAAUCAUUGGGCGUAAAGGGUGCGCAGGCGGCUUAGCAAGUCUGGUGUGAAAUGGUUGUGCUCAACACAAUCAGGCGCCGGAAACUGAGAAGCUAGAGUCAACGAGGGGAUGCCGGAAUUCCAGGUGUAGGGGUGAAAUCUGUAGAUAUCUGGAAGAACACCAAUGGCGAAGGCAGGCAUCUGGCGAUUGACUGACGCUGAGGCACGAAGGUGCGGGGAGCAAACAGGUUUAGAUACCCUGGUAGUCCGCACAGUAAACGAUGUGCACCAGGUGUCGGGCAGCAGUGUUCGGUACCGAAGCAAACGCAAUAAGUGCACCGCCUGGGGAGUAUGCCCGCAAGGGUGAAACUCAAAGGAAUUGACGG
RNAcentral lists this ribosomal RNA (572 nucleotides) under uncultured bacterium. RNAcentral describes it as "bacterial SSU rRNA". It matches the Rfam family "Bacterial small subunit ribosomal RNA", at positions 348 to 916 of the family's 1533-position model. The record is from RNAcentral.